RNAcentral lists this ribosomal RNA (254 nucleotides) under uncultured bacterium. RNAcentral's name for it is "partial 16S ribosomal RNA". It matches the Rfam family "Bacterial small subunit ribosomal RNA", at positions 524 to 776 of the family's 1533-position model. The record is from RNAcentral.
UACGUAGGGUGCGAGCGUUAAUCGGAAUUACUGGGCGUAAAGCGUGCGCAGGCGGUCUGUUAAGUCCGAUGUGAAAUCCCCGGGCUUAACCUGGGAACUGCAUUGGUGACUGGCAGGCUUUGAGUGUGGCAGAGGGAGGUAGAAUUCCACGUGUAGCAGUGAAAUGCGUAGAGAUGUGGAGGAAUACCGAUGGCGAAGGCAGCCUCCUGGGCCAACACUGACGCUCACGCACGAAAGCGUGGGGAGCAAACAGG